GACGAACGCUGGCGGCGUGCGUAAUACAUGCAAGUCGAACGCUUCUUUUUCCACCGGAGCUUGCUCCACCGGAAAAGGAGGAGUGGCGAACGGGUGAGUAACACGUGGGUAACCUGCCCAUCAGAAGGGGAUAACACUUGGAAACAGGUGCUAAUACCGUAUAACAAUCGAAACCGCAUGGUUUUGAUUUGAAAGGCGCUUUCGGGUGUCGCUGAUGGAUGGACCCGCGGUGCAUUAGCUAGUUGGUGAGGUAACGGCUCACCAAGGCCACGAUGCAUAGCCGACCUGAGAGGGUGAUCGGCCACAUUGGGACUGAGACACGGCCCAAACUCCUACGGGAGGCAGCAGUAGGGAAUCUUCGGCAAUGGACGAAAGUCUGACCGAGCAACGCCGCGUGAGUGAAGAAGGUUUUCGGAUCGUAAAACUCUGUUGUUAGAGAAGAACAAGGAUGUGAGUAACUGUUCAUCCCUUGACGGUAUCUAACCAGAAAGCCACGGCUAACUACGUGCCAGCAGCCGCGGUAAUACGUAGGUGGCAAGCGUUGUCCGGAUUUAUUGGGCGUAAAGCGAGCGCAGGCGGUUUCUUAAGUCUGAUGUGAAAGCCCCCGGCUCAACCGGGGAGGGUCAUUGGAAACUGGGAGACUUGAGUGCAGAAGAGGAGAGUGGAAUUCCAUGUGUAGCGGUGAAAUGCGUAGAUAUAUGGAGGAACACCAGUGGCGAAG
Molecule: ribosomal RNA, 721 nt
Filed under: uncultured Bacilli bacterium
Lineage: Bacteria; Bacillati; Bacillota; Bacilli
Description: bacterial SSU rRNA
Rfam family: Bacterial small subunit ribosomal RNA
Source: RNAcentral